AGUGUCCUACGGGGGGCAGCAGUGGGGAAUAUUGGGCAAUGGGCGCAAGCCUGACCCAGCAACGCCGCGUGAAGGAAGAAGGCUUUCGGGUUGUAAACUUCUUUUCUCAGGGACGAAGCAAGUGACGGUACCUGAGGAAUAAGCCACGGCUAACUACGUGCCAGCAGCCGCGGUAAUACGUAGGUGGCAAGCGUUAUCCGGAUUUACUGGGUGUAAAGGGCGUGUAGGCGGGGACGCAAGGCAGAUGUGAAAACCAAGGGCUCAACCUGGGGCCUGGAGUUGAAAGUGUGU
This 291-nucleotide ribosomal RNA is filed under the name uncultured bacterium. RNAcentral describes it as "partial 16S ribosomal RNA". It matches the Rfam family "Bacterial small subunit ribosomal RNA", at positions 333 to 638 of the family's 1533-position model. The record is from RNAcentral.